GAUGAAGAACGUAGCGAAACGCGAUAGGUAAUGUGAAUUGCAGAAUUCAGUGUAUCAUCGAAUCUUUGAACGCAUCUUGCGCUUGCUGGUAUUCCGGCAAGCAUGCCUGUUUGAGUGUCAUGAAACUUAUCAACCGUGACUUGGGUUUAGGCCCCUGGCUCGGCUUGGAUUUGGGUGCUUGCGGCCUCGUGCUGCUCACCUUAAAAGGAUUAGCUGGACAUGUCGUGAGACCUGGUUCUACUUGGCGUAAUAAGUAUUUCGCUGAGGACAUCCCCUCGUGGGGUGGCCAAGACUCUAGUGCAAACGUCUGCUUUCUAACCCGAUCGUCCUCGGACAUCACUUUUUAUGAUGUGGCCUCAAAUCAGGUAGGACUACCCGCUGAACUUAAGCAUAUCAAUAAGCGGAGGA
Molecule: unclassified non-coding RNA, 408 nt
Filed under: soil metagenome
Description: partial contains 5.8S ribosomal RNA, internal transcribed spacer 2, and large subunit ribosomal RNA
Rfam family: 5.8S ribosomal RNA (bases 1-120)
Source: RNAcentral